UUUGUUGUUUUCAAUUAGAAUUGGUUAUGAUUUUUAAAAUUGGUUGUACUUAAAGCUAAUGUUUGUAGUUUGUGAUUCUAAACAUGACUUUUACAUUAAAAUAUAUUAUGAUCAACUCAAUUUUAUAUAAAAUUUAUUUAAAUAUAAAUCACUUCAUCUCAAUUAAUUUUUAUUCAAAAUCAAUUUUACAGAAAUAGUUUAUUUUAAAUCAAUUUCUUCAUUGCAAAACCAAAUACAUAGUUAAAAAUCUUACCUACAAUAGCUUAACAAGUGUUGAU
This 278-nucleotide long non-coding RNA is filed under the name Lathyrus oleraceus (garden pea). RNAcentral describes it as "Pisum sativum (pea) long non-coding RNA (PSAT_LNC012401)". Lineage: Eukaryota; Viridiplantae; Streptophyta; Magnoliopsida; Fabales; Fabaceae. The record is from RNAcentral.